RNAcentral lists this ribosomal RNA (463 nucleotides) under Vreelandella stevensii. RNAcentral's name for it is "partial 16S ribosomal RNA". It matches the Rfam family "Bacterial small subunit ribosomal RNA", at positions 338 to 795 of the family's 1533-position model. Lineage: Bacteria; Pseudomonadati; Pseudomonadota; Gammaproteobacteria; Oceanospirillales; Halomonadaceae. The record is from RNAcentral.
CCUACGGGAGGCUGCAGUGGGGAAUAUUGGACAAUGGGGGGAACCCUGAUCCAGCCAUGCCGCGUGUGUGAAGAAGGCCCUCGGGUUGUAAAGCACUUUCAGUGAGGAAGAACGCCUGGUGGUUAAUACCCAUCAGGAAAGACAUCACUCACAGAAGAAGCACCGGCUAACUCCGUGCCAGCAGCCGCGGUAAUACGGAGGGUGCGAGCGUUAAUCGGAAUUACUGGGCGUAAAGCGCGCGUAGGUGGCUUGAUAAGCCGGUUGUGAAAGCCCCGGGCUCAACCUGGGAACGGCAUCCGGAACUGUCAAGCUAGAGUGCAGGAGAGGAAGGUAGAAUUCCCGGUGUAGCGGUGAAAUGCGUAGAGAUCGGGAGGAAUACCAGUGGCGAAGGCGGCCUUCUGGACUGACACUGACACUGAGGUGCGAAAGCGUGGGUAGCAAACAGGAUUAGAUACUUGUAGUC